UUCGUAGGGUGCGAGCGUUAAUCGGAAUUACUGGGCGUAAAGCGUGCGCAGGCGGUUUUGUAAGCCAGAUGUGAAAUCCCCGGGCUCAACCUGGGAAUGGCAUUUGGGACUGCAAGGCUGGAGUACGGCAGAGGAGACUGGAAUUCCUGGUGUAGCAGUGAAAUGCGUAGAUAUCAGGAGGAAUACCGAUGGCGAAGGCAGGUCUCUGGUCUGAUACUGACGCUCAUGCACGAAAGCGUGGGGAUCAAACAGG
Molecule: ribosomal RNA, 253 nt
Filed under: uncultured bacterium
Lineage: Bacteria
Description: partial 16S ribosomal RNA
Rfam family: Bacterial small subunit ribosomal RNA
Source: RNAcentral